CCUAUUGAUGAGGAAGACUUGAUCUCCUAUGUCAUCGGGGGUCUUAAUUCCAUUUAUAAUCCUUUCAUCACAUCUCUUAAUUUUGCCACUCGAGACAAAUCAAUUUCAUUUGAUGAUUUUCAAACUGAAUUGCUCAAUU
Molecule: small nucleolar RNA, 139 nt
Organism: Juglans microcarpa x Juglans regia
Lineage: Eukaryota; Viridiplantae; Streptophyta; Magnoliopsida; Fagales; Juglandaceae
Product: small nucleolar RNA Z247
Exons: 1
Source: RefSeq, a predicted model, not a curated record